RNAcentral lists this ribosomal RNA (1520 nucleotides) under Epilithonimonas pallida. RNAcentral's name for it is "bacterial SSU rRNA". It matches the Rfam family "Bacterial small subunit ribosomal RNA". The record is from RNAcentral. Lineage: Bacteria; Pseudomonadati; Bacteroidota; Flavobacteriia; Flavobacteriales; Weeksellaceae.
AUACAAUGGAGAGUUUGAUCCUGGCUCAGGAUGAACGCUAGCGGGAGGCCUAACACAUGCAAGCCGAGCGGUAGAUUGCUUUCGGGCAAUUGAGAGCGGCGCACGGGUGCGGAACACGUGUGCAACCUGCCUUUAUCUGGGGGAUAGCCUUUCGAAAGGAAGAUUAAUACCCCAUAAUAUGUUGAAUGGCAUCAUUCGACAUUGAAAGCUCCGGCGGAUAGAGAUGGGCACGCGCAAGAUUAGAUAGUUGGUGAGGUAACGGCUCACCAAGUCAAUGAUCUUUAGGGGGCCUGAGAGGGUGAUCCCCCACACUGGUACUGAGACACGGACCAGACUCCUACGGGAGGCAGCAGUGAGGAAUAUUGGACAAUGGGUGAGAGCCUGAUCCAGCCAUCCCGCGUGAAGGACGACGGCCCUAUGGGUUGUAAACUUCUUUUGUACAGGGAUAAACCUUUCCACGUGUGGGAAGCUGAAGGUACUGUACGAAUAAGCACCGGCUAACUCCGUGCCAGCAGCCGCGGUAAUACGGAGGGUGCAAGCGUUAUCCGGAUUUAUUGGGUUUAAAGGGUCCGUAGGCGGAUCUGUAAGUCAGUGGUGAAAUCUCACAGCUUAACUGUGAAACUGCCAUUGAUACUGCAGGUCUUGAGUAAAUUUGAAGUGGCUGGAAUAAGUAGUGUAGCGGUGAAAUGCAUAGAUAUUACUUAGAACACCAAUUGCGAAGGCAGGUCACUAAGAUUUAACUGACGCUGAGGGACGAAAGCGUGGGGAGCGAACAGGAUUAGAUACCCUGGUAGUCCACGCCGUAAACGAUGCUAACUCGUUUUUGGGUUUUCGGAUUCAGAGACUAAGCGAAAGUGAUAAGUUAGCCACCUGGGGAGUACGUUCGCAAGAAUGAAACUCAAAGGAAUUGACGGGGGCCCGCACAAGCGGUGGAUUAUGUGGUUUAAUUCGAUGAUACGCGAGGAACCUUACCAAGACUUAAAUGGGAAUUGACAGAUUUAGAAAUAGAUCCUCCUUCGGGCAAUUUUCAAGGUGCUGCAUGGUUGUCGUCAGCUCGUGCCGUGAGGUGUUAGGUUAAGUCCUGCAACGAGCGCAACCCCUGUCACUAGUUGCUACCAUUCAGUUGAGGACUCUAGUGAGACUGCCUACGCAAGUAGAGAGGAAGGUGGGGAUGACGUCAAAUCAUCACGGCCCUUACGUCUUGGGCCACACACGUAAUACAAUGGCCGGUACAGAGGGCAGCUACACAGCGAUGUGAUGCAAAUCUCGAAAGCCGGUCUCAGUUCGGAUUGGAGUCUGCAACUCGACUCUAUGAAGCUGGAAUCGCUAGUAAUCGCGCAUCAGCCAUGGCGCGGUGAAUACGUUCCCGGGCCUUGUACACACCGCCCGUCAAGCCAUGGAAGUCUGGGGUACCUGAAGUCGGUGACCGUAAAAGGAGCUGCCUAGGGUAAAACAGGUAACUAGGGCUAAGUCGUAACAAGGUAGCCGUACCGGAAGGUGCGGCUGGAACAUCUCAUUUU